This 535-nucleotide long non-coding RNA is filed under the name Homo sapiens (human). RNAcentral's name for it is "HSALNT0317262". The record is from RNAcentral. Lineage: Eukaryota; Metazoa; Chordata; Mammalia; Primates; Hominidae.
CUUCCACAGAGGAGGUGGCAAGCCGGAACAAGGCACACAAAUGCCAGCUGAGUGGAAGGUCAACCAGUCCAACUUCUCAUGUUUCAGAAGAGGAAAGCAAGGUCUGGAGAGGGAACGUGGCUUGCCCAAGAUAUGUUUCAAACUUUGAUGAAAAGCAGGGAAGUUUGGGAAGAAAAUCCAAGACUUCUCUGGAGAGAGGUGCUGUGUUUUAUAGCAUCGGGCUGGACCCAGGAAGCUGGCUCCCAAAAACCUGGGCUUCCUUUGCAACCUCUACAUGAGGAAGAGGCACCAGUUAGUGUGACCCAUCCUGGACCAGGAAACAGGCUCAGAGAGAAGAAGGGAAUUAUGUACCUCGGUUUAGAGCCAAAGUGUCCUGCCUGCAUUCCAGCUGUUUCCAUCCAUGUCCAUGUCAACUGGCAUCUGGAACUACUCGUAGCAGCAUCCACUCAAUUCACCAGGGUGGAAUCGAUAAAUGGCAACAUUUUCCUCUCUGAUGUUUUUUAACUGCAUUAAAAGGCAUGGAGUUUUAAUUUCA